CGCAUCUGUGCAUGCAGCAUAUCAAUAAGCGGAGGAAAAGAAACUAACAAGGAUUCCCCUAGUAACGGCGAGUGAAGCGGGAAGAGCUCAAAUUUGAAAUCUUAAAGGGUUUCCCUUUACGAAUUGUAGUUUAAAGAAGUGUUUUCUGUUGAGGUUUUGGUAAAAGUUCUUUGGAAUAGGACAUCAUAGAGGGUGAGAAUCCCGUAUUUGACCUUUACUUUCAACUUUGUGAUACACUUUCAAAGAGUCGGAUUGUUUGGGAAUGCAGUCCAAAAUGGGUGGUAAAUUUCAUCUAAAGCUAAAUAUUGGCGAGAGACCGAUAGCGAACAAGUACCGUGAGGGAAAGAUGAAAAGAACUUUGAAAAGAGAGUUAAACAGUACGUGGAAAUUGUCAAAAGGGAAGCGUUUGACACCAGUGUCGUUUUUCUGAAAAUCAAUUAAAGAACUGUUUAUGCUAAGCUGUUUAGACUUUAUCAGCUAACUGUUUAGUUUUGAGCUUUUCUUUAAUGCACCUUUCAGUUAACAAGUCAACAUCAAUUUCUUUUGCUGUAAAAAAGCUUGAGGAAGGUGGCUUGAGAUUCGUCUUAAGUGUUUAUAGCCUCUUGCCUAUGCAGUCGGAGAGAUUGAGGUCUGCAGCGUAGAUCCUUCGGGGCUAAAUGCAUUUGUGCUAAGUUAUAGCAUUUUAUAGACAACUUGUUGACUAUGAUUUGUCUUGUAGCUUACUCGCUUAUGUUAUUUUACCUACGCUUAGGAUGUUGAGCGCAUGUCUCUCUCU
RNAcentral lists this ribosomal RNA (775 nucleotides) under uncultured Neocallimastigales. RNAcentral's name for it is "partial large subunit ribosomal RNA". It matches the Rfam family "Eukaryotic large subunit ribosomal RNA", at positions 26 to 616 of the family's 3401-position model. Lineage: Eukaryota; Fungi; Neocallimastigomycota; Neocallimastigomycetes; Neocallimastigales. The record is from RNAcentral.